This 1033-nucleotide ribosomal RNA is filed under the name uncultured bacterium. Its description in RNAcentral is "bacterial SSU rRNA". It matches the Rfam family "Bacterial small subunit ribosomal RNA", at positions 336 to 1393 of the family's 1533-position model. The record is from RNAcentral.
CUCCUACGGGAGGCAGCAGUGGGGGAUAUUGCACAAUGGGGGAAACCCUGAUGCAGCGAUGCCGCGUGGAGGAAGAAGGUUUUCGGAUUGUAAACUCCUGUCGUAAGGGAAGAGGAAGGACUGUACCUUACAAGAAAGCUCCGGCUAACUACGUGCCAGCAGCCGCGGUAAUACGUAGGGAGCGAGCGUUGUCCGGAAUGACUGGGUGUAAAGGGAGCGUAGGCGGGAUGGCAAGUCAGAUGUGAAAUCUGAGAGCUCAACUUUCAGACUGCAUUUGAAACUGCUGUUCUUGAGUGAAGUAGAGGUAAGCGGAAUUCCUGGUGUAGCGGUGAAAUGCGUAGAGAUCAGGAGGAACAUCGGUGGCGAAGGCGGCUUACUGGGCUUUUACUGACGCUGAGGCUCGAAAGCGUGGGGAGCAAACAGGAUUAGAUACCCUGGUAGUCCACGCUGUAAACGAUGAUUACUAGGUGUGGGGGGAUUGACCCCUUCCGUGCCGCAGUUAACACAAUAAGUAAUCCACCUGGGGAGUACGACCGCAAGGUUGAAACUCAAAGGAAUUGACGGGGGCCCGCACAAGCAGUGGAGUAUGUGGUUUAAUUCGAAGCAACGCGAAGAACCUUACCAGGUCUUGACAUCGAGUGACGUAUCCAGAGAUGGAUAUUUCCUUCGGGACACAAAGACAGGUGGUGCAUGGUUGUCGUCAGCUCGUGUCGUGAGAUGUUGGGUUAAGUCCCGCAACGAGCGCAACCCUUAUCAUUAGUUGCUACGCAAGAGCACUCUAAUGAGACUGCCGUUGACAAAACGGAGGAAGGUGGGGAUGACGUCAAAUCAUCAUGCCCCUUAUGACCUGGGCUACACACGUACUACAAUGGCGAUCGAACAGAGGGAAGCAAGACAGCGAUGUGGAGCCAAUCCCAAAAAAUCGCCCCAGUUCAGAUUGCAGGCUGCAACUCGCCUGCAUGAAGUCGGAAUUGCUAGUAAUCGCAGAUCAGCAUGCUGCGGUGAAUACGUUCCCGGGCCUUGUACACACCGC